Molecule: non-coding RNA, 336 nt
Organism: Cinara cedri
Lineage: Eukaryota; Metazoa; Arthropoda; Insecta; Hemiptera; Aphididae
Source: the annotation of a GenBank genome assembly
ACACUAGGUAUAAUAAGUUGGCGCCACUGAAACUAAUAGGUAGUUACUUGUUUAUUUGUGCAUUUUCAAUAGUAUAAUUCAUUUAGCGUUUAAACUUUGCGGCUACAAUUUUACACUUGAUUGAAAUUUCAUGUUUAUUAAAAGAAUUUCAAAAACCUAGGUAAGUAUUUCUUUUCAAUGUUUUAGAAUUGAAUGUUAUAAAUGUAAUCAACGAUAUUAGAUAAAUCAAUUUAUAUACUAGUUUCAAUGUUUAAUAGUUAAUAAACCUAAAAUUGACCAAAAUGCAUAGAUUUUAUAGAGCUUGUUCUACUGUAUAAGCUCCUACUAUUUUUUUUU